GCAUGCAUGUCUAAGCACAUGCCUUAAUACGGUGAAGCCGCGAAUAGCUUCAUUUACAACAGCCAUCGUUUACUAGAAUAUAGUUAUUCCUACUUGGAUAACUCGUGGCAAUUCUAGAGCUAAUACAUGCAAAAAAGCUCUGCCCGUAAGGAACGAGCGCAUUUAUUAGAAUAAAAACCAAUCGGGUUUCGGCCCGUACUUUGGUGAAUCUGAAUAACUUUGCCAAUCGCACAGUCCUAGUACUGGCGAUGUAUCUUUCAAGUGUCUGCCUUAUCAACUUUCGAUGGUAGGUUAUACGCCUACCAUGGUAGUAACGGGUAACGGAGAAUAAGGGUUCGACUCCGGAGAGGGAGCCUGAGAAACGGCUACCACAUCCAAGGAAGGCAGCAGGCGCGCAAAUUACCCACUUCCAGUACGGAGAGGUAGUGACGAAAAAUAACGAGACAGUCCUCUUCGAGGUCUGUCAUCGGAAUGGGUACAAUUUAAAUCCUUUAACGAGGAUCUAUUGGAGGGCAAGUCUGGUGCCAGCAGCCGCGGUAAUUCCAGCUCCAAUAGCGUAUAUUAAAGUUGUUGCGGUUAAAACGCUCGUAGUUGAAUCUGCGGUCUUGGAGAACGGUCCCCCGAAAGGGUGGUCACUGUCUCUCCUGGCCUAAAUUCGAGUCGUCUCUAGGUGCUCUUAAUCGAGUGCUUAGAGUGACUAGAACGUUUACUUUGAAAAAAUUAGAGUGCUUAAAGCAGGCGAAAUAGCCUGAAUAAAAUGCAUGGAAUAAUAGAAUAGGACCUCGGUUCUAUUUUGUUGGUUUCCAGUGCCUGAGGUAAUGAUUAAGAGGAACAGACGGGGGCAUUCGUAUUCCGGCGCUAGAGGUGAAAUUCUUGGACCGCCGGAAGACGAACGACU
RNAcentral lists this ribosomal RNA (898 nucleotides) under Mesodorylaimus sp. Its description in RNAcentral is "SSU rRNA". It matches the Rfam family "Eukaryotic small subunit ribosomal RNA", at positions 49 to 944 of the family's 1831-position model. The record is from RNAcentral. Lineage: Eukaryota; Metazoa; Nematoda; Enoplea; Dorylaimida; Dorylaimidae.